AAUACGUAGGUGGCGAGCGUUGUCCGGAUUUACUGGGCGUAAAGGGUGCGUAGGCGGAUGUUUAAGUGGGAUGUGAAAUCCCCGGGCUUAACCUGGGGGCUGCAUUCCAAACUGGAUAUCUAGAGUGCAGGAGAGGAAAGCGGAAUUCCUAGUGUGGCGGUGAAAUGCGUAGAGAUUAGGAAGAACACCAGUGGCGAAGGCGGCUUUCUGGACUGUAACUGACGCUGAGGCACGAAAGCGUGGGUAGCAAACAGGA
Molecule: ribosomal RNA, 256 nt
Filed under: uncultured prokaryote
Description: partial 16S ribosomal RNA
Rfam family: Bacterial small subunit ribosomal RNA
Source: RNAcentral